GCUAUUUAAUAGGUGCUCGACAGCCGGGAGUGCCGUGCCAAGGACGGGGAUCCCGAGUGCUGCCGGCAUUGCCUCUUCUGGGAACUUUUCUGCAGGUUUGCUUGGAGACCACUGAGGAUGUGUGACCCCAACCAAGGCCCGCCAAAAGCAUACCUUGCAGUGUGCCCUCCUGCCCCUCCAGGAUACCGUGGUCCUGACAGAAGUCCCUACCCUCCUGGUGUUGCAGUUUGCCCUGCUGCCCCUCCAGGAUACCGUGGUCCUGGCGAGAACCUGGCAGUCUGUCCCCCGGGCCCUGCUCCUCCUGGGCAGCACCCCCAUGGGCACCCCCCAUCAGGGCAUCAUCCCCAUGGGCACCAGGAGCACCAUCAAAAGCACUGAAAGCACCAUGAAGGCAAGCCCUGUGGUGGCUCACGCAGCUCAAGCAGCAGCUCUGACUCUGACUGAAUGUCUGGUAUGUCCCACCUGCUCUGCAGUGAUCAGCAAAACAUGGGGCCAAACUCCUCGUGGGAACCCCCUGCAUGUCGCUCCACUCCCUCCCCCUUUCCCUUGGAACAAUGUUUUGCCUGCUGAGUGAUUUUUCUUGUGUGUAGCUUGUAAAUCCUUGGACCUGGAAUCUCUGAGUCAAUGGACAUUUCUACCCUCUGUCCUUUGGGAGAGCCUGUUGAAAGUCAUCACAUGCUGUUUUCCAAUCUA
Molecule: long non-coding RNA, 693 nt
Organism: Cyanistes caeruleus (blue tit)
Lineage: Eukaryota; Metazoa; Chordata; Aves; Passeriformes; Paridae
Source: RefSeq, a predicted model, not a curated record